UACGUAGGUGGCAAGCGUUGUCCGGAUUUACUGGGCGUAAAGGGCGUGCAGGCGGUUCGUUAAGUCUAGAGUGAAAGCUCCCGGCUCAACUGGGAGAGGUCUUUGGAUACUGGCGGACUUGAGGAGGGUAGAGGAGAGUGGAAUUCCCGGUGUAGUGGUGAUAUGCGUAGAUAUCGGGAGGAACACCAGUGGCGAAGGCGGCUCUCUGGGCCCUACCUGACGCUGAGACGCGAAAGCGUGGGGAGCGAACCGGAUUAGAAACC
Molecule: ribosomal RNA, 263 nt
Filed under: uncultured bacterium
Lineage: Bacteria
Description: partial 16S ribosomal RNA
Rfam family: Bacterial small subunit ribosomal RNA
Source: RNAcentral